Molecule: small nuclear RNA, 102 nt
Organism: Phodopus roborovskii (desert hamster)
Lineage: Eukaryota; Metazoa; Chordata; Mammalia; Rodentia; Cricetidae
Source: RefSeq, a predicted model, not a curated record
UUGCUUUGGCAGCACAUAUACUAAAAUUGGACCAAUACAGAGAAGAUUAACAUGGCCCUUGUGCAAGCAUGACACAGAAUUGGUGAAGCAUUCCAUAUAUUU